CCUACGGGAGGCAGCAGUGGGGAAUAUUGGGCAAUGGGCGCAAGCCUGACCCAGCAACGCCGCGUGAAGGAAGAAGGCUUUCGGGUUGUAAACUUCUUUUCUGAGGGACGAAGAAAGUGACGCUACCUCAGGAAUAAGCCACGGCUAACUACGUGCCAGCAGCCGCGGUAAUACGUAGGGGGCAGGCGUUAUCCGGAUUUAUGGGGUGUAAAGGGUGCGUAGGCGGAAUGUUAAGGCAGAGGUAAAAGCCCGGGGCUCAACCCCGGCGAGCCGUUGAAACUGGCUGUCUUGAGAUGUCGAGAGGUAUGCGGAAUGCGCAGUGUAGCGGUGAAAUGCGUAGAUAUUGCGAAGAACUCCGAUUGCGAAGGCAGCAUACCGGCGGGGAACUGACGCUGAGGCACGAAAGCGUGGGUAUCGAACAGGAUUAGAUACCCCAGUAGUC
RNAcentral lists this ribosomal RNA (442 nucleotides) under uncultured bacterium. Its description in RNAcentral is "partial 16S ribosomal RNA". It matches the Rfam family "Bacterial small subunit ribosomal RNA", at positions 338 to 795 of the family's 1533-position model. The record is from RNAcentral.